Molecule: transfer RNA, 68 nt
Filed under: Scoparipes salvazai
Lineage: Eukaryota; Metazoa; Arthropoda; Insecta; Hemiptera; Cydnidae
Description: tRNA-Ile
Source: RNAcentral
AAUAAGAUGCCUGAUUAAAAGGGCUACUUUGAUAGAGUAGAUCAUGCAACUCUACCCUGCUCUUAUUA